AACACAUGGAGUUUGAUCCUGGCUCAGGACGAACGCGCUUUGGCGUGCCUAAUACAUGCAAGUCGAGCGGAGAAUGAAAAGCUUGCUUUUUCAUUCUUAGCAGCAGACAGUGAAAUGUAACGUAAGAUAGCCUACCCUAUGGAGCUAGGAUAACCUCGGGAAACCGAAGCUAAUACCGGAUAAUCUUAGGAGUCACAUGGCUCGCCGUAAAAAUUGGGUUUACCAACACACUACUGGAUGGGCCCGCGGCGCGACAGCUGGUCGGUAGGGAUGACGGCCUGGCGGCGAUGCGUAGCCGACCUGAAGGUGAUCGGCCACACUGGGACUGAGACACGGCCCAGACUCCUACAGGAAUGUAGGAAUCUUCCGCAAUGGACGAAGUCUGACGGAGCAACGCCGCGUGAACGAUGAAGGCCUUCGGGUCGUAAAGUUCUGUUGUUAGGGAAGAACAAGUACCGUUCAAAUAGGUCGGUACCUUGACGGUACCUAACGAGAAAACCACGGCUAACUACGUGCCAGCAGCCGCGGUAAUACGUAGGUGGCAAGCGUUGUCCGGAAUUAUUGGGCGUAAAGCGCGCGCAGGCGGCGUUUCUUAAGUCUGAUGUGAAAGCCCCGGCUCAACCGGGAGGGUCAUUGGAAACUGGGGAACUUGAGUGCAGAAGAGGAGAGUGGAAUUCCAUGUGUAGCGGUGAAAUGCGUAGAUAUAUGGAGGAACACCAGUGGCGAAGGCAACUCUCUGGUCUGUAACUGACGCUGAGGCGCGAAAGCGUGGGGAGCAAACAGGAUUAGAUACCCUGGUAGUCCACGCCGUAAACGAUGAGUGCUAGGUGUUAGGGGUUUUUUCGAUGCCCUUAGUGCCAGUUAGCACAUUAAGCACUCCGCCUGGGGAGGAUUACGACCGCAAAGGUUGAAACUCAAAAGGAAUUAGGCAGGGGCCCGCACAAGCGGUGGGAGCAUGUGGUUUAAUUCAGAAGCAGCGCAGAAGAGCCUUACAGUCUGUGUAUCCUUAUGACAUCCCUAGAGAUAGGGCUUUCCCUUCGGGGACAUAAGUGACAGGUGGUGCAUGGUUGUCGUCAGGCUCAUUGUCAUUGAGAUGUUGGGUUAAGUCCCGCAACAGGCGCAACCCUUGAUCUUAGUUGCCAGCAUUUAGUUGGGCACUCUAAGGUGACUGCCGGUGACAAACCCAUUCGAGGAAGGUGGGGAUGACGUCAAAUCAUCAUGCCCCUUAUGACCUGGGCUACACACGUGCUACAAUGGAUGGUACAAAGGGCUGCGAGACCGCGAGGUUAAGCCAAUCCCAUAAAGCCAUUCUCAGUUCGGAUUGUGGCUGCAACUCGCCUACAUGAAGCCGGAAUUGCUAGUAAUCGCGGAUCAGCAUGCCGCGGUGGUCGUUCCCGGGCCUUGUACACACCGCCCGUCACACCACGAGUUUGUAACACCCGAAGAAGUCGGUGGGGUAACGCAGUGCUUGAGCUCAAGCCGCCUAAAGAUUGGACAGAUGAUUGGGGUGAAGUCGUAACUGGUAGCGUAUCGGAAGGUGCGGCUGGAUCACCUCCUUU
RNAcentral lists this ribosomal RNA (1559 nucleotides) under Anaerobacillus sp. HL2. Its description in RNAcentral is "bacterial SSU rRNA". It matches the Rfam family "Bacterial small subunit ribosomal RNA". The record is from RNAcentral. Lineage: Bacteria; Bacillati; Bacillota; Bacilli; Caryophanales; Bacillaceae.